Molecule: long non-coding RNA, 1549 nt
Organism: Oncorhynchus tshawytscha (Chinook salmon)
Lineage: Eukaryota; Metazoa; Chordata; Actinopteri; Salmoniformes; Salmonidae
Source: Ensembl
GGCUGUUCCAUCAUGCUUCCUCUACCCACCAACACAGGCUGUUCCAUCAUGCUUCCUCUACCCACCAACACAGGCUGUUCCAUCAUGCAUUUAAAAUAUAUUGGUUUUCAAAGCUGCUCCUUCAUGUCAAGUUCUUCUUGAAAAUAAAUGUCUCCUCGAUUAAAAAGUUAAAAACACAAGAAUCUGAAAACAUCCCACUUUUGUUCUUAACCAGCUGCUCUUGGGCUCACCACCAUAGCUAUUAUUAUUAUUAUUAUUAUUAUUAUUAUUAUUAUUCAGUGUCUUUGUAAUAUGGUUGGUAAAGCAUUGGCAGCUAGUGACUACACACAAGCAAAAUACAAAAACCUUUGUAAAUAUCAAAUAUAUAAAAGUGAAAAAAAAGGGGAUGGGGUUGUGUUUAGAAAAUUAUAUGCAGUCAACAUAUCAAAGAAUAUCAUACCAGUCAACUUGAAAAAACACCUUAGUAAAAAAAUUACAUUCUCCCAAAAUGUGUCCCCCCCCAUGCCAAAGCUAAAGCCGGAUUCUCUCACCUUUUCCCAGAUUACCAAAACAGUCAAAUACAUAAAAACAUUGAAAAUGUUGUCCUUGAAAUUGAGCCAAACUUACUUACAAACUUCAAAUCAGUUAAUAUAUUCCCCUACCUUUUUCCUUUUAGAAAAUGAAAGCCAUUAUGUUUUAAAACUAGGGCUGUCAAAGUUAACUCGUUAAAUAACGCGUGACAUUUGUAAUUCAGUAAAAACAAAAAUUGGACACUGUUAGUCUCCAUUUCUUCAUCACACGGAACCUUCUGAGCGCUCGUUUCCACACGGACCCUUUUGAGGGCUUGUUUCCGCACGGGCCGUUUUAAGCGCAACACACAACACGCUCUGUGCCUGGUCACCUCAGUCAGUGUGACCUCGGUCUCAGUAGCGUUGUCGGGCUCUUGUGGUGCACGACGCGCAUAGCUUUGGAAAACUGACAUGAAGUUCAACCAUAAACACAUUCCCAGGCGUUUCUUUAGAUAACAGCAAAAACAUAAUUUGGACAAAAGCGGUUAGCUUAGUUAUGCUAACCAAACUAAAAUGUUUACAAUGCCAUGCCUGAUUGCAUCUUGAAUCAACUAGCUAGCUACUUCCCACAAAAACAGUAAAUCCAUUCCAUUUACCUAACGUUACUGUUUUAGUUUUCAGGUUAAGUUCAGAAAAGUAUCCCAAUUCUAGUAGCAGCUUGUGACUAGUUGGUGUUGAAGAACAUAGAUCAGUAUCCUAGGCUAGAUCUAAUAGUUGUAUUAUAUUUGACAUGACCUCAGACCUGUCUGAUCGGUUGUUAAUUGGACAGGUUAAUUAACAUUGGACAGGUUUAAAAGCUCUUUGUCUCCAUGGAUACAGUUCUAUUUUCCUUAUAGUCAACACUCCAAUCAGAAAUUGGCAGAACACUCAUUUAGAAUGCCUGAAGCUUUCAGGACGUGAGUGUGUGUGUGUGGCAAAUGAGGAAGUUUUAAACUUCAAGAACAUUGAUAAGAGGGAGUAGAGGCCUACGGAAACAUUGGGAGGGUUAACAUCUAUGUUCG